CAGUAGCCGCGGUAAUACGGAGGGUGCAAGCGUUAAUCGGAAUUACUGGGCGUAAAGCGCACGCAGGCGGUUUGUUAAGUCAGAUGUGAAAUCCCCGAGCUUAACUUGGGAACUGCAUUUGAAACUGGCAAGCUAGAGUCUUGUAGAGGGGGGUAGAAUUCCAGGUGUAGCGGUGAAAUGCGUAGAGAUCUGGAGGAACACCGGUGGCGAAGGCGGCCCCCUGGACGAAGACUGACGCUCAGGUACGAAAGCGUGGGGAGCAAACAGGAUUAGAUACCCCGGUAGUCCCUGUCUCUUAUAC
Molecule: ribosomal RNA, 301 nt
Filed under: uncultured bacterium
Lineage: Bacteria
Description: partial 16S ribosomal RNA
Rfam family: Bacterial small subunit ribosomal RNA
Source: RNAcentral